Molecule: ribosomal RNA, 680 nt
Filed under: Enterobacter hormaechei
Lineage: Bacteria; Pseudomonadati; Pseudomonadota; Gammaproteobacteria; Enterobacterales; Enterobacteriaceae
Description: bacterial SSU rRNA
Rfam family: Bacterial small subunit ribosomal RNA
Source: RNAcentral
GCAGUCGUAACAAGGUAACCGUAAGCUUGCUGCUUCGCUGACGAGUGGCGGACGGGUGAGUAAUGUCUGGGAAACUGCCUGAUGGAGGGGGAUAACUACUGGAAACGGUAGCUAAUACCGCAUAACGUCGCAAGACCAAAGAGGGGGACCUUCGGGCCUCUUGCCAUCGGAUGUGCCCAGAUGGGAUUAGCUAGUAGGUGGGGUAACGGCUCACCUAGGCGACGAUCCCUAGCUGGUCUGAGAGGAUGACCAGCGACACUGGAACUGAGACACGGUCCAGACUCCUACGGGAGGCAGCAGUGGGGAAUAUUGCACAAUGGGCGCAAGCCUGAUGCAGCCAUGCCGCGUGUAUGAAGAAGGCCUUCGGGUUGUAAAGUACUUUCAGCGGGGAGGAAGGCGAUAAGGUUAAUAACCUUGUCGAUUGACGUUACCCGCAGAAGAAGCACCGGCUAACUCCGUGCCAGCAGCCGCGGUAAUACGGAGGGUGCAAGCGUUAAUCGGAAUUACUGGGCGUAAAGCGCACGCAGGCGGUCUGUCAAGUCGGAUGUGAAAUCCCCGGGCUCAACCUGGGAACUGCAUUCGAAACUGGCAGGCUAGAGUCUUGUAGAGGGGGGUAGAAUUCCAGGUGUAGCGGUGAAAUGCGUAGAGAUCUGGAGGAUACCGGUGGCGAUGGCAGCCCC